RNAcentral lists this long non-coding RNA (5021 nucleotides) under Sus scrofa (pig). RNAcentral's name for it is "lncRNA (ENSSSCG00000057652.1)". Lineage: Eukaryota; Metazoa; Chordata; Mammalia; Artiodactyla; Suidae. The record is from RNAcentral.
GGAUGGACUAGGAGUUUGGGAAUAGCAGAUGCAAACUAUUACAGUUAGAAUGGAUAACCAAUGAGAUCCUAUGGUAUAGCAUAGGAAAUAGACCAGCUGUUGGAAUAGACCAUGAUGGAAGAUAAUGUAAGAAAGAGUGUGUGUGUGUGUGUGUGUGUGUGUUUAUGACUGGGUCACUUUGCUUUACAGCAGAAGUUGAAAUAACAUUGUAAAUCAACAAUAUUUUAAUUUAAAAAUGAAAAAAAUUUACCUGGCCUAAAUAUCAGUAGUAUCAAGGUAGAGAAAACCUCUUGUACACCACGUCCUAAGGUCAGUCUAUGUCUUUGAUCUUAGCUUCUCUGUUUAUGCCUCAUUAUAAUAGGGAAAUUAAUUAACCACUGUGUUUAUGUAACUAUCUUGGAAUAAGAGCUAAAUAAUUAGGCUGGAAAUCAUAUAUUCUGCUGUAAAUCAAAACACAAUUGUUUCUUUUAUAGAAUAAAAAUAUUUUCACAUGAAAGAGCUCUAGAAAUAGCUCCUUGAUGAACAUUGUGUGUCUGGAGCCUUAGUGACUUCAUUCAGUGAGUGUCCACUGAGCAGUGAUUUUAUCCAUUAGCCAUGGGGCUCUAUCAGAGAGCAUGAUAGACACAGACAUUGUUCUCAUUAGGUCCAUCAUUUCAUUGGCUCGAGAAAGAUGGUGAACAAAUAGAGAAGUGCCUAUUAAAUGAAAGUUUUAUGAUAUACAGGAUUAUCUGAGAACUAGAGAGGACCUGAGUUAGAAAGAUUUAGUAAAAGUUCCCAUUUAAAGUAGUAAAAAGGGGAGUUCCUAUUGUGGCUCAGAGUUUGAACCCAGCUAGUGUCCAUGAGGAUGUGGAUUCGAUCCCUGGCCUUGCAUAGUGGAUUAAGGAUCCCGCAUUGAGGUGAGCUCUGGUGUAGGUCACAGACUUGGGUUGGAUCACUCAUUGCUAUGGCUGUGUUGUAGAUCUGCAGCUGCAGCUCAAUUUGACCUCUAGCCUGUGAACUUCUGUAUGCUGCAGGUGUGGCCCUAAAGGCCAAAAAAAAAAAUAAAUAAAUAAAUAAAUAAAAAAUAAAGAAAAAAAAGAAAAAAGGGCAUUCCCAUUGUGGCUCAGUGUUAAGAAGCAAACUAGUAACCAUGAGGAUGCCGGUUUAAUCCCUGUCACUGCUCAGUUGGUUAAGGAUCCAGCCUUGUCAUGAUGUAUAGGUUGCAGGUGCAGCUCAGAUAAGGUUUUCCUGUGGCUAUGGCGUACCUAGGCUGGCAGCUUCAGCCCGAUUCGACUCCUAGACUGGGAACAUCCAUAUGGCAUGGGUGCGGCUCUAAAAAAAAAAGUAGAAAGGAGUGAAACUUGACCAGGCCAAGGAAAUGUUCCAGGCAGAGGAAACAGUGCAGGAAAAAGAAGGGAGAAGGAAUGAGCUUGGUGCAUUCAAAGAAGUGUCAGGAGUGCAGUAUGACACAGUUUGCCAUUAAGAAGAGUGGCUCAAGAAUUAGAUAAGAUCCAGAUGGAUCUAGGCUGCUGUAAGGCCAUGUAAAGAAUCUUUAGCUUUAUUCUAAAAAUAAGAUGAGACUUUUAAGACUUUCAAGCAAGAGAGUGGCUACGAUAAGAUUUGCAUUUAAGGCCUAAUCGGAACAUUUAGAGAACAUUAUACCUUAAGCUUCUAGAAGGAGCAUAUCUUACAGUGCUUUAAUGAUGCAACUGCCCUGGGUGUCUGUAUCUGAACCCACAAAGGCCUUGUUGAUUUUCUUAUUUAUACAAUGUCCACAUCUCCCCUAGUCUACGUCUUUCCUUGACGAACCUGGUUUUUAAUCAACUUGUGGUGAAACAUCACUUAUGUGAUACUAAAAGAAGGAAGCCAGUAUUUUUCAUGUCUCCCAUGGAACAGGGUAGGGAAUGCACAUUUAUAAGUUACUGGUUAUUAAACAAGUGCCAGUACUCAGCUAAGUAUGUCUCAGCUGCUCUUCCUCUAAGGCAAGUGCUAUUUUCUUCCUGAAGAUCAGGAAAUCAGGUCUCAGAAAUAUUAAAGGAUCUGCCUAGUUUGUGACCUCACAGACAGUAACUGGUAAAGAUGUGAUGAGAGCUAAUCUCUCUGAUUCCCAGAACUGUACUUUUCUCUGUCCAACAUUCAGGAGGUAGGUAAUUUGUAUGUCUUGUUGUUGGAGCUUUACAACAACCAUGUGAGGUAGAUAAGGUUUUCCCCUUAUUCUUUAGAUGAGAAAGUUCUGUCCAGGAUGUCUUCUUUAACAGUCCCUGGGAGAUGCAGUUUAGAGCCACACCUUUCUGACUCCAAAACCUUAUUUUCUUUUCAUUGCACCUUGAUGCUGUCAUCAAGAAUUAUCAAAGUUUAACAUCUUUCCUCUUUUUAUACACUUCUGUAGAGGAGAAAACUGGUCAGAAUUCUUUUCAGAGGGGCUUUCUCUAUAAUUUAAAAUCCUCUUCAAGGUGGUAUUGAUAGCAAGCUUCAUAAAGCAUGGAAUAUAAUAAUUCUGCCAAAGACUGAAACAAUAAAUAGUAAGGUAACGCAUAAUCUAUAGCCUUAAUGUAGGUGAUUUCCUACAAAUAGAAAAUAAAUAAUGUGUAUUGCAUAUUUCCAGUUAUAGGAUCCCUUCUUAAUGAUCACUGAGUAAUGGAAUAUUUAUAACAAACCAGGCAACUUUAUGUUCCGGUCGUCUAAGAAACAGCUUUGCUUGGAUAUGGGGCUAUCAUAUUUCACUCUUAUUCCUUAACCUUGUGUUGUGUGGGCAACAAGGGAGAAUUCAGCUAAACUGUUUGGAAAUCAGACAGGCCUGGCUUUGAACUGUAGUGCUGAAACCAGCUGGCAGCAUAGCUUUAACUUGUUGAUCCUCUGAGACAUCUAUGAAAUGGAAAUAUUUCUCUGAGAGGAUUUAUCAGGAUAUUUUUAAGGUGCCUAGCGCAGGGUCAUAUAGGAAUCCAGUCUAUUGAAAUCCAGUCUAUUGAAAUCCAGUCUAUUGAAAUCCAGUCUAUUCAUGAUAGGAUCAUCACUGUUGCUACACUUGCUGCUUUUAUUCUAUUUUGUUGCUUUGCUUUCUGUUGCCCAGGACCACUGUGUUGGCCUGUCAGAGAAGGAAGGGGCGUUACUGCUGUCUUUGAAGUUGAUGGCAGUAGAAUUUCCAUUUUCCAUACUGUCAAAUCUUAAGCUGAGUUAGAGCAUUUCUGGCAUUUUUCAACAAUAUUGCCAUUCUACAUCUCUUAAUAUGUUUGAAUUCCCAGAAGACAGUUAAAUAGCUAUUACUGAGACCUUGCUUAAGAAGCAUAUAAUGUCAGUGAAGGGUGUAUUGCAUUUUGUUUUGGAAGGUGCACGUAAAAGGAAAAAUUAUGCAAAAUCUGAUUUUAUGAAUCUUGAUUUCCUGGUAAUUGGAAGUACCCCAUUAAUGAUUCCAACAAAGUUAAAGAAAAAAAAAAUGUGUUACUAUUUUUAGGAAAGACAACUCUGUGGUGAAUCUAGGCCAUUGCCAUGACAAUACCAAGCUCUGCAGUUUCUUUCUUUUUUCCUGUGUGUGUGUGUAUGUGUGGUUUGUUCUGCUUCAAAUAUACUAUGUUCAUAGUCCUUAAAUACUCUUAAUAAUGGUGCAAUUGAACUUUGUUUUGGAGACAUUUUUCAAGCCAUCUAUUUAUCCUUAAAGUAUAAGGAAGUUACCAUGAAAUAUUUCAUAUAUUGUAUGUAUUUCUCCUGGUGACUUAAGCACAUUUCUAAAUUGCUAAUUUUGAGAGAUUUUAUAGUAGUCAUUUAGUUUAACAUUAUUUUGAUGAUGGAAGGAAAGACUGCAGAUGGAUUUGAAACAGUUGUAAUAAGUGCAGGUAAAUAAUAUAUUUGACAUUUUGUUUCUGCUCAUCAAUGCAGAGUAACCUUAUGUGGUUUAGUUUGGCAUUUUAUUCCAUUUGUACUUCCUCAGUUAUUUCUAAAGGUUCCUCUUCCUGUGAAUCCUCCUGUGGCUAAAAGUUUCCCUCAUUAUUUGUGCAGUGGAGUCUCGUCUCGACAUCUGUCCUGAACGUACCUUCCUCAUCUCUGUUAUGACCAUGUUUUCCUCUAUUUCUCAGGCCUGCUCCCAUAAAAUCUUAAUGACAUAUAAUUACAUUAAGCACAAAGUAGUCUUUUCAAAUUCUACUCUGUUGGUUGACAGUAAAGGAACCAAGGGCAUGGAAGGAGAGAAAAAGUUGAAAAGAGAUGGGAGCGUGCAGGCAUUUCCUCUUCACCUUCCUGAGUGGUGUUUCUGCCAAAGUGAGACUGAAAUGACAUGAGAUUUGGUGCCUUUAGGUCCCAUGUGAACAUCUUGCCAUGCCAAGUGUGAUUCUUGGGUGUAAAUAUAAAUAAUUGUUUGGCAGUGUGCCCCCUAAAUGCCAGUCUCAGUUUUCUGUUCCUAUGCAAGGGUAAAAGAAAACAAAACCACAAAAAGCUGUUUGUGUUGGGCCUGUUGAGAGAAGGUAAAUAUGUCUAUCCAAACAGGGUAACUUCAUAAUGAAUUAGGGUAUUUUUUUUUUCUUUUUUGGCCACACCCAAGGCAUAUGGAAGUUGCUGGGUCAGGGAUUGAAUCCAAGCUAUAGCUGUGACUUAUGCCACAGCUGCAGCAAUGCUGGAUCCUUAACCCACCCUGCGGAGCCGGCAGUUGAAACAGUGCUGCCAUUGAGGCAACACCAGAUACUUAACCUGCGGUACCACAGCAAGAACUCCAAAUUAGGGUAAUUUUGAUUAUAUAAUAUUUCCAACCUAAUCUCUGUUUCUUAACCCUCAGUUCCUCUAUAAUGCUUUCUUUACUAGAGUUUCCCUUUCUUUCUUGACUAUAGCUUUUCCUGAGAUGUGAAUGUGCACAUCUUCAAAGUUUGUAAUUAAGUGAAAACCCAGGAAAUGAAAUUCAUCAAACAAAUUUGUCAGUUUGCAUCCAAAUAAAGUCUUUUUAAAAGUGAUCCAUAAGAAAUUAAACUUCAGGCCCAAAUGCCAAAUGCUAGGAAUCUGACUUAAAAUCCAUACUCUUUUCAUUCUUAACACACUUUUUGGUUUUACAAUUUCCUUCU